Long non-coding RNA from Helianthus annuus (common sunflower), 1146 nucleotides. RefSeq lists it as uncharacterized. The transcript is spliced from 3 exons. NCBI's taxonomy places the organism in Eukaryota, Viridiplantae, Streptophyta, Magnoliopsida, Asterales, Asteraceae. The record is from RefSeq and is a predicted model, not a curated record.
CUAUAUAUAUAUAUAUAUUUAGGGUAAGGUUCAUGAGUGAACAAUGGUGUAUUUGUGAACAAAAAUGAACAAAUCUUGUCCAUUGAUUAUACAAGAUGAUGAGAUUUUGUAUUAAUGGCAUUUUUGUAAUUCUUUUAUGUUACUUGGUUUUUAAUUAAAUGAUAUGAGGGCUAAUUAGUAAUUUCCAUUGCAAAUAUCAGUUACUAGGAUAUCAAAUCACAAAUCAAAAUAAAAACCUAAUCUUGUUCUCUCUCUACACCAAUUUCUUUCACAGCCCCCUUCAAGUGAUGACGAUUACGUCUUCCCUAUACCGUAUUUCACAGUGAUUACAUCUUUAAGAUACAUAUCAAACGGCGAUUCAAAAUUCCAGCGACUAAUUGAAGGGAAGUUCAGCAAUUCGAAAGAGUGGAGUUUGAAGGGGCAAAUUCAUAGAUGUUGGAUAGUGAUUGGGCGACCACUAACAACGGUGUUGACUGUGGUGUGUUCGCCAUACGACAUAUGGAAAUGGAUGGGAGUAGAUAAUAUGCUCGCACUUUUAUUUAGUUUGAUUUAAUUUAAAAAAAUUGGACUCCACGGUCAUAGAUAAUAUGCAUCCUUGUGAGAGUCCGAUAAAAGUUUUUUACGGUAACGAUUUUUUUCUUGAAGUCAACUCCAAUGAAAGUGAAAAUGUUGUAAAAGCAUGUUGGUUAUCCCCGUUGCUAUGAGAUUGAAGAUGUCCAGCCUGUUCGUUUAAAGAUUAGUUGGGCGACUAUAGGAAACUAUGAAGACUGCGGUGUAUAUGUGAUGCGUCACAUGGAAACAUGGAUAGGGAUCGUUGAAGGGCGUUGGGACGCUGGGUUUCCAACUGAAAUCUCAAAAGAGAAAAACAAAAUAGCACAACUUAGGUAGAAGUUUGUUGUGAAACUGAUAAUAUCGCAUGCGAACAUACCUCACGAACGAAUUACGAAUGAAGCUAAUCAGUUUGCCGGUAUCAAUAAAAAGAAAUAGAUGUGAAGUUGCUAGUGGUUUAUUUUGUGUAGUGUUUGGUCUGGUGUUUCAAUACUGGUUAUGGUUUAUUUUACUUGUUUUGGUGAAACUAGUAGUUAUGGUUUAUUUUGAUUAUGUUGGUGGACGUCGUUUUGAAUGAGUUAUAUGAUAAUAUUUUAA